Sorex fumeus (smoky shrew) is the source of this 106-nucleotide small nuclear RNA. NCBI's taxonomy places the organism in Eukaryota, Metazoa, Chordata, Mammalia, Eulipotyphla, Soricidae. The record is from RefSeq and is a predicted model, not a curated record.
UUUUUUAGCGGAAUUAAGAAAAUUUUCCAUUGGAACGAUACAGAAAAGAUUAGCAUGGCCCCUGCACAAGGAUGAGACGCAAAUUCGUGAAGCGUUCCAUAUUUGU